UUAUAAAAAUAAGUUUGAUCCUGGCUUAGAAUUAACGCUAAAGACAUACAUAUAAAAUGCUUGCUAAUUAAACUUAUAAUAUAAAUAAUAAGUUAGUGUACAGGUGAGUAAUAUAUAUAAUUAUAAAGAUUAAAUUAUACUUGAAUUUUAAAUUCAAAAUAAAUUUUUUAUAAAUAAAUUACAUAAAGAUAUUUGUUUAAUUUUAAUUAUAUACUCUAUUAACUAUUUAAUAUAUAAAAAUAUAUAAAGUCAAAAUAGAUAGCUGGCCUGAGAGGGUGUUCAGCCACAUUGGACCUGGAACAAUGUCCAAACUUUUAAGAAAGUUAGCGGCAGGGAAUUUUUUGCAAUUAGCGAAAGCUAGACAAAGUAAUGUCUUGUGAAGGGAGAUUAAAUCGUAAACUUCUGUAAAUCUAAAAUAUAAUAAAUGAAAUAUAGAUUAAAAUAUCGGCUAACUCUGUGCCAGCAGCCGCGGUAAUACAGAGGAUAUGAGCGUUAUUCGAAAUUAUUGGGCAUAAAGCAUUAAUAGGUUAUUUUAUAAAGUAUAAAUAAAAUUUAAAAGCUUAACUUUUAAAAUUUUAUACUAUAUAUAAAAUUAAAGAUUAUUAUUUAAGUUUAAAGAAUUUUUUGAGUAAUAGUGAAAUAUUUGGAUACAAAAAAGAAUACCAUUAAUGAAAAUAUUAAACUAAUAUAAUCUAAUACUAAAUAAUGAAAGCUAAGGGAGCAAAUGGGAUUAGAUACCCCAGUAGUCUUAGUUGUAAAUUAUGAAUAUUAAAUGUAAAAGUAUUAUUUAAAUAUUUUUAUAUUAAAGUAAAUACGUUAAAUAUUCCGCCUGAGUAGUACAUUCGUAAGAAUUAAAUUCAAAGGAACUGACGGGAACUCAUAUAAGCAGUGGGUCACGUAACUUAAUUCGAUGAAGACCGUAAUACCUUACCAAAAUUUAACACAUUUAAAAUGAAUAUAUUAAAAUAUAUUUAUAAAUAAACUUAGGUGGUGCAUGGUUGUCGUCAGCUAGUGCUUUGAGGUGUCAAAUUAAGUUUUGUAACUAGCGAAACCCUUUUUAUUGUUUUUUUAUACUUUUAUAAAGAAUUAUAUUUUAUAAUAUAAAAGGAGGAAAAGGAUCAAGUCAAAUCAUUAUGCCCCUUAUAUUUUGGGCAGAUUACGUGACACAAUAAAUAAAAACAAUAUGAUAAUUAAUAAUAAAAUUAAACUAGAAAUAGAAUUUAAUUAUCAAUAAAAUUAUUUUCAGUACGGAUUAUUGAUUGAAAAGUCAAUAUUAUUAAUAAGAAGGAACUGCUAGUAAUCGUUAGUAAGCUAAAUAACGGUGAAUAAAUAAUUGAGUUUUGUACACACCGCCCGUCGUAUCCGUAAAGAUAUAUAGUUAUAAAUUAUAUAAUAUAUAAUGAAAUAUUAAUAUAUUAAUGUGGAUGAAGUCGUAACAAGGUAGCCGUACUGGAAAGUGCGGCUAGAUAUAAAA
Molecule: ribosomal RNA, 1474 nt
Filed under: Babesia microti strain RI
Lineage: Eukaryota; Apicomplexa; Aconoidasida; Piroplasmida; Babesiidae
Description: SSU rRNA
Rfam family: Bacterial small subunit ribosomal RNA
Source: RNAcentral